Molecule: ribosomal RNA, 408 nt
Filed under: Fusobacteriota bacterium
Lineage: Bacteria; Fusobacteriati; Fusobacteriota
Description: Fusobacteria bacterium partial 16S ribosomal RNA
Rfam family: Bacterial small subunit ribosomal RNA
Source: RNAcentral
UGGGGAAUAUUGCACAAUGGACGGAAGUCUGAUGCAGCAACGCCGCGUGCGGGAUGACGGCCUUCGGGUUGUAAACCGCUUUUUCUCAUGACGAAGUUUUUUGACGGUAGUGGGGGAAGAAGCACCGGCUAACUACGUGCCAGCAGCCGCGGUGAUACGUAGGGUGCGAGCGUUGUCCGGAAUUAUUGGGCGUAAAGAGCUUGUAGGCGGUUUGUCGCGUCGAUAGUGCAAACUCAGUGCUUAACGCUGAGCCUGCUGUUGAUACGGGCAGACUAGAGGAAGGUAGGGGAGAAUGGAAUUCCCGGUGGAGCGGUGGAAUGCGCAGAUAUCGGGAGGAACACCGGUGGCGAAGGCGGUUCUCUGGGCCGUUCCUGACGCUGAGAAGCGAAAGCGUGGGGAGCGAACAGG